AGCCCGCGCCGCUGCCGCCGCUGCGAGGAAGUUGACUGACGCCGCUUCCUUCCACCCAGGACGCAGACCCUCGCAGUCCCUGGUAGCUGCAAAAAAUCCGGAGAGUUUGAGACAGAGACGCCUUAACCGCCCUCAUAUUCUUUCCAAGAAUUCACCUCUCAGGGGGCCAUUUCCGAAGUCCCUCGGGAAGGGCGGAAAACAAUAACAAACUUCAUCUGCGCUGUCAAGACUGAUUUAAAUCCUGGCCUUUCUCUCACCACUCUCGGGUGAACGUUCAGGGUCAUGCCCAUGAUAUAAAUAAUGUGAUGACAUACCACGGAGGCCCUUGCAGACACUUCCACACCCCUAAGAUACACCCGCCCAAGACUCGCGCCUCUCCCAUGACUACAUCACACAGACACAUCUGACACUGACCUGCAGAAGAUCCCACUUCUACCCUGUGUCCUCAAUCCACAGCCUUCGUGGGUCCCAGCAAUAGCGACCCACACAUACAAUCUAUUGGAGGCAGGGUGCGGGGGUGGGUUCCACCUCCCGACUUGCUCCUCACCCACAAUGUUCUCGGUAUUUUACCAUGAGAAAAAGACAGUUAAGAAGUUGGAUGAUCAAUUAACAAAUCAAGUUGGCUUUGCUUUUAAAAAGCCUUCUUCAUUAUCUGGAGAAAAGAGAAGGCCUGGGAAGAUGGCCUGCUUACUGUAAGAUUUUGUCAGACAGGCCUAAUUCUGGUCUGCUUACUGUAAGAUUUUCUCAGACGGCCU
RNAcentral lists this long non-coding RNA (755 nucleotides) under Homo sapiens (human). Its description in RNAcentral is "non-protein coding lnc-MCM3-2:1". Lineage: Eukaryota; Metazoa; Chordata; Mammalia; Primates; Hominidae. The record is from RNAcentral.